ACCUCGGAUCAGGUAGG
This 17-nucleotide ribosomal RNA is filed under the name Sphaerellopsis filum. RNAcentral's name for it is "partial 28S ribosomal RNA". The record is from RNAcentral. Lineage: Eukaryota; Fungi; Ascomycota; Dothideomycetes; Pleosporales; Leptosphaeriaceae.